AUCGCAAGACCUCGCGCUAUAGGGGCGGCCGAUGGCAGAUUAGCUAGUUGGUGGGGUAAAGGCCUACCAAGGCGACGAUCUGUAGCUGGUCUGAGAGGACGACCAGCCACACUGGGACUGAGACACGGCCCAGACUCCUACGGGAGGCAGCAGUGGGGAAUUUUGGACAAUGGGGGAAACCCUGAUCCAGCAAUGCCGCGUGUGUGAAGAAGGCCUUCGGGUUGUAAAGCACUUUUGUCCGGAAAGAAAACCUUCGAGUUAAUACCUUGGGGGGAUGACGGUACCGGAAGAAUAAGCACCGGCUAACUACGUGCCAGCAGCCGCGGUAAUACGUAGGGUGCGAGCGUUAAUCGGAAUUACUGGGCGUAAAGCGUGCGCAGGCGGUUCGUUAAGACAGAUGUGAAAUCCCCGGGCUUAACCUGGGAACUGCAUUUGUGACUGGCGAGCUAGAGUAUGGCAGAGGGGGGUAGAAUUCCACGUGUAGCAGUGAAAUGCGUAGAGAUGUGGAGGAAUACCGAUGGCGAAGGCAGC
RNAcentral lists this ribosomal RNA (531 nucleotides) under Burkholderia sp. RNAcentral's name for it is "bacterial SSU rRNA". It matches the Rfam family "Bacterial small subunit ribosomal RNA", at positions 202 to 725 of the family's 1533-position model. The record is from RNAcentral. Lineage: Bacteria; Pseudomonadati; Pseudomonadota; Betaproteobacteria; Burkholderiales; Burkholderiaceae.